AUGCUGGGACAAUCAUUAAAUGAACUUAAAACAGCAGAGCCAGAUAAAGACAGACGGAAGACAGGACGUGCAGAAAGAAUGUGUAUAACCAGAGCUCUGCAUAGUUGUAUGGUUUUAGAAUUAUUAAAGAAAUUCCAUUAUGCGAAACAGAUACAUACAUUUAUGGUUGAGCAGUACUUACCAAUCGCACCAAUUGCAUCCAGACGAUCUGCAUCUUGCACGAUUGCAAACUCAAGAGUGGGCUCCGCAUUAAGCUUAUUUGAAACCUCAUUUUUGAAUCCUGCAGUUAACAUUGCGGGUGUAACUUUGUAA
This 312-nucleotide ribosomal RNA is filed under the name Triticum aestivum (bread wheat). RNAcentral describes it as "partial small subunit ribosomal RNA". Lineage: Eukaryota; Viridiplantae; Streptophyta; Magnoliopsida; Poales; Poaceae. The record is from RNAcentral.